RNAcentral lists this ribosomal RNA (467 nucleotides) under uncultured bacterium. RNAcentral's name for it is "partial 16S ribosomal RNA". It matches the Rfam family "Bacterial small subunit ribosomal RNA", at positions 28 to 506 of the family's 1533-position model. The record is from RNAcentral.
GACGAACGCUGGCGGCGUGCUUAACACAUGCAAGUCGAACGGAAAGGCCCUGCUUUUGUGGGGUGCUCGAGUGGCGAACGGGCGAGUAACACGUGAGUAACCUGCCCUUGACUUUGGGAUAACUUCAGGAAACUGGGGCUAAUACCGGAUAGGAGCUCCUGCUGCAUGGUGGGGGUUGGAAAGUUUCGGCGGUUGGGGAUGGACUCGCGGCUUAUCAGCUUGUUGGUGGGGUAGUGGCUUACCAAGGCUUUGACGGGUAGCCGGCCUGAGAGGGUGACCGGCCACAUUGGGACUGAGAUACGGCCCAGACUCCUACGGGAGGCAGCAGUGGGGAAUAUUGCACCAUGGGCGGAAGCCUGAUGCAGCAACGCCGCGUGCGGGAUGACGGCCUUCGGGUUGUAAACCGCUUUCGCCUGUGACGAAGCGUGAGUGACGGUAAUGGGUAAAGAAGCACCGGCUAACUACGU